Small nuclear RNA from Jaculus jaculus (lesser Egyptian jerboa), 105 nucleotides. NCBI's taxonomy places the organism in Eukaryota, Metazoa, Chordata, Mammalia, Rodentia, Dipodidae. The record is from Ensembl.
GUCCUCACUUCAGCAGCACAUGUACUAAAGUUGGAAUGAUACAGAGAAGAUAGCAUGACCCCGGGCAAGGAUGACGAGCAAAUUCAUAAAGAGUUCCACAAUUGA